CUUCUAUAAAUGUCCCUAGACUACCCGGCCAUCCAGAGGUCUGAAAGGGGCAAAUGGAUCAGCACCGUUCGUUCCACCUGCGCCAGUAAUUUUGCUUCCCCGCUUUUCACCUCAACCGUUCAAUACGGUAAAUGUUUUUUCACCAGUUGCUUCAGGUUCUUGGUGCAUGGCAACUGGGCCAGAGCGCGUGCGGGACCUUCAGGCAGAGAUAGCGGAGGCAGCUCAUUCCCGUCGGUCUUCUCCUAUCCAUGUGAUGCACCGGUGAAAACCUAGCGCCCCAAUCCCCCGUCUCGUCUCCUCCUCCAAUCCCCUCGCCUCACGCCGCUCCUCCAAUCCCCCGCGUCGUCCCUCGCCGCCUCGCCUCCUCGGCUCCUCCCCGAAUCCACUCCUACUCUCCUCCUCCCCCAACCUGAUGGCGGCAGCAGGUCGGCGAACGUGGUCAGUGGAUGGAGGAGAAUUUUGUGGAGGCGAGCAGCCGCAGAUCGGAUUUUUUCGCGGCCGUGGCGGCGCACAUGGAGGAACAAUGCCCGCUCCUCGUGCUUGCCGCGUAGGAGGUUGGGGAGGACCAGGAGAAGGCACGCGGGGUUGGCCUUGGCUGGCCUGGUUCGUCGCGCGCGCGGGGAGACCGGCGGCGGCGGCCAGGGCCCGUCGACGAGCGCUUCCGCAGGAGGAAAAGAAGAAGAGGAGGUGGCGCUGGGAGACCGGCUAUGGCAACGGUCGGCGAGCUCCGCCACGAUCGACCACGAGCCGCCACCGCCGUCGGGCCUCUCCCCCUCAACCCACCCAGCGCUGGAGGUGGAGGAGCGGUCAAGGGUGGCGCUGGGACGGAGGAGGAGGAGCAUGGAUUUGGCGCCGACGAGCUUCUCCACGAUCGGUCCAUGCCUGAGAUGGCGGGGGCACGGUAUGUGUGAUGGGGCUGCUCCGUGAAAUCCAUGGACGGCACCUCGCUGACGGGAUCUGGCCCCAUUUGGGAGGCUCGUGGGUGGCGGCGACAAUGAUGUUGUUGGAGAGGAUGCGGGAGGAGGAGGGAGACGGAGCUGUGCUGGCCGCUCAGCGCCUCGCCCCCACCCUCGUCGGCUCCCGACGCCAGUCCUACGCUGUGGAGACUACGAGCACGUCUGAGAUGGAAAGGCCAGAGGAUUUCCAUGGCUAGGAAGCUGGAUAAAAUCUCCAAGCUGAACUCCCCGGUUGUUUGAUUUGAUUUGAUUUGAGAAGUGGAGUAGAACCACUCACCAUUCCCAGGCCAUCUCGCCCCCAAACUUUCGUUAUUUGAAAACUCAUUGAUUUGUUUUGCUGAAAAUAUCAGUGCUCUUUGAUGUGAUGAGUAGCUUCGUAUUCAACUAUGCCCUUCGUAUUCAA
Molecule: non-coding RNA, 1359 nt
Organism: Lolium perenne
Lineage: Eukaryota; Viridiplantae; Streptophyta; Magnoliopsida; Poales; Poaceae
Source: RefSeq, a predicted model, not a curated record